This 2269-nucleotide long non-coding RNA is filed under the name Homo sapiens (human). RNAcentral describes it as "HSALNT0247276". Lineage: Eukaryota; Metazoa; Chordata; Mammalia; Primates; Hominidae. The record is from RNAcentral.
UGCUGGUAGAAAAAGCCAACGAAACCCCUAAAUUCCUGCAAGGUCGGGGGCAACCGCAAAUUGAUGUCCCUAUCCUAAAUAAGCUGGAGAGCUCAGCAGGGAUAUGGACAUGGGAAAAAAUUAUAAAUCUAGUGGCCAAAUUGUGGCAUACAGUCAGUAACCGGACUCAGGAAGAGAUUGAUCCUGCUAAUUUAAUCACAUCGGGGCACAGUACAGUGUGAGAACAAAGUGUCAAGUGUUCAGUUCGACGGCCUUAAAUCCUCCCUGCACAUAGUCAGGAUAUGGCUGCAACCAUGCAGAGAGAAUGUAGAGUGGCAGGAAACUGUACAGAGGCCAACACUGUUCUCAGAGGCCUCCAUCAUUGUUGUCUUCUGUGCUUGGGGUGCCCUCUACUCUUACAUGUCUCUCCAGGGCACACGUGGAGCCAUAGGAGAGGACCGUGGUUUUCUGGGAUAUCUCUGAGUAAGACUGUGUCAGAGUGGCAGUUUCAUUGAAGCAGGCUUGCUAACUACAACUGUGCCACCCGACCCUGCCUGAUUCCCAUCUUCCCCAUCAAACAUGUGACAGCACUUUCUACAGGAUGGAGAGUAAGAGGUAGCCAUUUCUCAACGGUACCAACCAGGACCACCCUAUUUAAGGAUACAACUGUCUCCACUCCCAUUACCCAGGUGAAGUACCGGUCAGGUUCAAGUGCCAUUACCCGAAAAAUAACUCCAGAUGAUGCAUCACUUCUGGGGAAGUGCUAUUUGGUGAUGAAAGAUGUUGGAAGUUUAAAUCCAUCCAUUGCCUGCUCAGAAAGUGGCUACUUUUCCAGGCAUAGGAGAGCUGCUUGGUCAGAUGCCACCCGCUCUGUCUUUCAGUGCACAGGUAAUGGGAGAAGACAGGAAAAUAUGGGUUCUGAUGGCAAUAGCCUGGCCUCAGGAAUAUAGUUUCAGUUGGUUAUUUAUUCUUUUGAUGCUGAAAUUGCCAGCAUCUAGAGGUAAAGAAUUACUUUGGAACAAAAAAUGUUUUGUCCACCAGAGAAUGUAGACGUUACAGAGCUAUUAAUCAAGACAGCCAAUCUGAAAGUGGUUUUCACAACAGGAUUUAGGAGAGAAGGAAAACUGGAAUUAAACUAUAAAAUGACUCAAGGUUGAAGGAGGAUGAACUAACUGAAUUACAGAUUUUAGAAAUUCAACAAAUUAUACAGGUAUAACACUGUGAAUGCAAGCACGUGGUUCAUUUGAGUGGUCUAGUUUUUCUGUUCAUUGCUAAAAUGUUUCUGAGAGUGGCCCUCCUUUAACCUGCUGUGUCUUUUCCAACAAUGUGGAUCUACUUUGUCACUUCUCCUCUUUAUUUGUGUGUGUGUAUGUGUUUCUGUGUGUGUGCACCUGUGUGUACAUCAGCUUUAGGCUGUGAGAGUUAUAAAGGUGAGUUACACAGUCUCGGUCUUCAGAAAAUGUACUGUUUACUAGAAGGUAAAGGAAGGCUGCGUGCUUAAUUAUAAUAAGGCAAGUUCUAACAAAAUUAAGACGCAGGGUGGUGGGGCCAUAAUGUGUGGCUAGAUUCAUAGAAGGUUGCUUGAAUGUUGUAUAUUUGCUAAGAUCCCAGAUGAUGAAAUGAGAAGCACAGUUUUCAUGCUUUCUCCUUACUAACCUUGUGCUGGUUAUACUUUUUUAAAACUGUUUCCUUGAUGUUGCAAUGGUGUAAUCCAGUGAGAAUAGAUGACUGGCUCAAAGUAAGCACUCAAUAAAUAUUGACUGUGUUGACUCUCAUUACUUUAAUCAUUAGUAUCUUUAAAUACACUUAAUAAAAGCCUUUCUUAACAAGCAUAGCUGGAGGCCUUUCAGGAAACAAUAAGAUGAUAAUAACUAACACUUACCGAGCACAAAUUUGUGUUUUACACACUCUGCUAAGCACUUUACUUACUUUUAUUUGGUUUUAUAAACAGUGCUAAGAGGUAGGUAUUAUUUUUGUGUCCACUUCACAGAUAAUGAAAUAGAAGAUCAGAGAGUAUAUGUGAUUUGUCUCAGGUUGCAUAGCUAGGAAGUAGCACAGCCAGAUGAAAUGGUGCUAGCUCAUUUAGUAUUAUAGGUCCUUGACCUCCAUUUAUUUUUGUAUGUGUUUGUUUUACUGCUUUGUUCCCACCCAUGAACACUGCUAGAAAAAUUAAACUUUUGGUUAAUCUAUUCAUUUAGUAUCUCAACAAUCUUUUUUUAAGCUUCUAAGUGCUAGACAUUGUGCCCUGGUGGAAAUAAGACAUGAUAUCUACUUUAGAAACACAAUUCAG